Non-coding RNA from Acanthosepion pharaonis, 96 nucleotides. The record is from the annotation of a GenBank genome assembly. NCBI's taxonomy places the organism in Eukaryota, Metazoa, Mollusca, Cephalopoda, Sepiida, Sepiidae.
CGUUAAAACACCGAUUCCCGUACGAUCACCGAAGUUAAUCAACAUCGAGCCUGAUUAGUAACUAGAUGGGUAACCCCUUCGGAAUACCAUAUACUG